GACGAACGCUGGCGGCGUGCUUAACACAUGCAAGUCGAACGAAAAGAGGGAAAGAGCUUGCUCUUUCCGGAAUUGAGUGGCAAACGGGUGAGUAACACGUAAACAACCUGCCUUCAGGAUGGGGACAACAGACGGAAACGACUGCUAAUACCGAAUAAGUUCCAAGAGCCGCAUGGCCCAUGGAAGAAAAGGUGGCCUCUACCUGUAAGCUAUCGCCUGAAGAGGGGUUUGCGUCUGAUUAGCUGGUUGGAGGGGUAACGGCCCACCAAGGCGACGAUCAGUAGCCGGUCUGAGAGGAUGAACGGCCACACUGGAACUGAGACACGGUCCAGACUCCUACGGGAGGCAGCAGUGGGGAAUCUUCCGCAAUGGGCGAAAGCCUGACGGAGCAACGCCGCGUGAGUGAUGACGGCCUUCGGGUUGUAAAACUCUGUGAUCCGGGACGAAAAGGCAGAGUGCGAAGAACAAACUGCAUUGACGGUACCGGAAAAGCAAGCCACGGCUAACUACGCG
This 513-nucleotide ribosomal RNA is filed under the name uncultured bacterium. Its description in RNAcentral is "partial 16S ribosomal RNA". It matches the Rfam family "Bacterial small subunit ribosomal RNA", at positions 28 to 507 of the family's 1533-position model. The record is from RNAcentral.